RNAcentral lists this ribosomal RNA (837 nucleotides) under uncultured archaeon. RNAcentral describes it as "bacterial SSU rRNA". It matches the Rfam family "Archaeal small subunit ribosomal RNA", at positions 21 to 859 of the family's 1478-position model. The record is from RNAcentral.
GGUUACUGCUAUCGGUGUUCGCCUAAGCCAUGCGAGUCAUAUGUUCUUCGGAACAUGGCGUACUGCUCAGUAACACGUGGAUAACCUGCCCUUGGGUCCGGCAUAACCCCGGGAAACUGGGGAUAAUUCCGGAUAACGCACAUAUGCUGGAAUGCUUUAUGCGUCAAAUGGAUUCGUCUGCCCAAGGAUGGGUCUGCGGCCUAUCAGGUAGUAGUGGGUGUAAUGUACCUACUAGCCUACGACGGGUACGGGUUGUGAGAGCAAGAGCCCGGAGAUGGAUUCUGAGACAUGAAUCCAGGCCCUACGGGGCGCAGCAGGCGCGAAAACUUUACAAUGCGGGAAACCGUGAUAAGGGGACACCGAGUGCCAGCAUCAUAUGCUGGCUGUCCGGGUGUGUAAAAUACACCUGUUAGCAAGGGCCGGGCAAGACCGGUGCCAGCCGCCGCGGUAACACCGGCGGCCCGAGUGGUGAUCGUGAUUAUUGGGUCUAAAGGGUCCGUAGCCGGUUUGGUCAGUCCUCCGGGAAAUCUGACGGCUUAACCGUUAGGCUUUCGGGGGAUACUGCCAGACUUGGAACCGGGAGAGGUAAGAGGUACUACAGGGGUAGGAGUGAAAUCUUGUAAUCCCUGUGGGACCACCUGUGGCGAAGGCGUCUUACCAGAACGGGUUCGACGGUGAGGGACGAAAGCUGGGGGCACGAACCGGAUUAGAUACCCGGGUAGUCCCAGCCGUAAACGAUGCUCGCUAGGUGUCAGGCAUGGCGCGACCGUGUCUGGUGCCGCAGGGAAGCCGUGAAGCGAGCCACCUGGGAAGUACGGCCGCAAGGCUGAAACUUAA